Molecule: ribosomal RNA, 113 nt
Filed under: Sinocyclocheilus anshuiensis
Lineage: Eukaryota; Metazoa; Chordata; Actinopteri; Cypriniformes; Cyprinidae
Source: RNAcentral
GCCACAGCCAUAUCCCCUGCAGCCCAAGACUGGUCACCCACUGAAGCUAAGCAGGGUUGAGCUGGUCAGUACCCGGAUGGGAGACCUGCUGGGAAACUAGGCAGCUGCUGGAA